GACGAACGCUGGCGGCGUGCCUAAUACAUGCCAGUUGAGCGCUGAAGGUUGGUACUUGUACCAACUGGAUGAGCAGCGAACGGGUGAGUAACGCGUGGGGAAUCUGCCUUUGAGCGGGGGACAACAUUUGGAAACGAAUGCUAAUACCGCAUAAAAACUUUAAACACAAGUUUUAAGUUUGAAAGAUGCAAUUGCAUCACUCAAAGAUGAUCCCGCGUUGUAUUAGCUAGUUGGUGAGGUAAAGGCUCACCAAGGCGAUGAUACAUAGCCGACCUGAGAGGGUGAUCGGCCACAUUGGGACUGAGACACGGCCCAAACUCCUACGGGAGGAAGCAGUAGGGAAGCUUCGGCAAUGGACGAAAGUCUGACCGAGCAACGCCGCGGGAGUGAAGAAGGGUUUCGGAUCGUAAAACUCUGUUGGUAGAGAAGAACGUUGGUGAGAGUGGAAAGCUCAUCAAGUGACGGUAACUACCCAGAAAGGGACGGCUAACUACGUG
RNAcentral lists this ribosomal RNA (497 nucleotides) under uncultured bacterium. RNAcentral's name for it is "partial 16S ribosomal RNA". It matches the Rfam family "Bacterial small subunit ribosomal RNA", at positions 28 to 507 of the family's 1533-position model. The record is from RNAcentral.